UCCUGGCUUCUGGACUCAGCUGAGAAUUCUGGAUUCUUUCUUUCUCAUAUGUCAACCUGAGCCCUCUGGCAUCGAGAGAGCUCCAACCUGAUCUUUCAUUCAAGCUUCCAUCCCUCCCACGGGAAGCAUUCAGUAGUCACUAAUAUCAGUUCAUGCUUGAUGGUGUUUUAUGCUGGCUCCCAUGAGUGACCUGUUCAGGUGAAUUGAUUUGAGGAAAAUCCUGGUUAUUUUGAAGUUGUUGCAGCUCAGUAUUAUUUUGUGUUUAAAUCACAAAUAACUUCACAAAUUUUCAGAACAAAAGAAACUGGA
This 309-nucleotide long non-coding RNA is filed under the name Mus spicilegus (steppe mouse). RNAcentral's name for it is "lncRNA (ENSMSIG00000006256.1)". The record is from RNAcentral. Lineage: Eukaryota; Metazoa; Chordata; Mammalia; Rodentia; Muridae.